RNAcentral lists this ribosomal RNA (253 nucleotides) under uncultured bacterium. RNAcentral's name for it is "partial 16S ribosomal RNA". It matches the Rfam family "Bacterial small subunit ribosomal RNA", at positions 524 to 776 of the family's 1533-position model. The record is from RNAcentral.
UACAGAGGGUGCGAGCGUUAAUCGGAAUUACUGGGCGUAAAGCGCACGUAGGCGGCUUGGUAUGUCGGGUGUGAAAUCCCCGGGCUCAACCUGGGAACUGCAUCCGAAACUGCCUUGCUAGAGUAUGGGAGAGGGAAGUGGAAUUCCCGGUGUAGCGGUGAAAUGCGUAGAUAUCGGAAGGAACAUCAGUGGCGAAGGCGACUUCCUGGACCAAUACUGACGCUCAGGUGCGAAAGCGUGGGGAGCAAACAGG